GGGGAGGAUUGAUUUGGCUUCUCACAUACGCUAUUCUAUACUCUCUCUCUCAUUCUUUCCAAAUCGUUCAAAGCAUUAUCCAAAACCUUGCUCCUUACCUUUUCAAUGGUGAUUCCUGCUCCUUACCCUUUCAAUCGAUCCUGUGCACAAACCCUAAUUUUGAUAUCUAUUUUUCUAGUCAUUUCACUCCGAAUCUCAACGAAGACAUCAAUCAUUCAUCAUCGCAAACCCUAAUCGCAUCAAAAAUCAUUGAGCAUGAGCAUAUUCUGGUGUAAGUUAUUGAUUAUUGGUAUAAAACAUCUCAUCAAUUUCAUCAUUCGUCCACCAGGUGAUUGUUUACAUUAUCCCCUUUUGAAUUUCGCUCAAUCCUUUUCUUCAUCGAUUCUGAAGUGUUGAUUUGUUGAGUUUUGCCCUUUCGUUGAUCAUCUAUCGUAUCUAUCUUGACAUUUGGUUUUUUUUAUUUCCAUUAUUUCAGUUUUCAGCGUUUGUUCAUCAUUCAAUGGACUUUUGUGUUGCAAGGGUUGAUUUGUGGUUUAUGUCAGACUGAUUUGAGGAGUCUUAGGAAUUAGGAUUUUGUUUCGGUACCUAUUUUCAAAUCGACCGAAUAUGCCUAUGAAACGCUCAAAAUGUAGGUUGUUUGGUAUCAAAGUUGAAGAUGGAUGGCUAAGCUUUUAAACAAUUGUGUGGCGGCAGUAUGGAGUUGGUAUAAGGGGCGUCUAGAUGAUGGUGGGGCUGCAACAGUGAAAGCUAUAAUGCAUUGGCAGUACCGAACCAUUUCCAGAGGACACAACUCGAUACUACACAAUCUCAAUGCACUUCUUGGCCCUAAAACAGAAGAUUAUAUAUUAUUUUAUGGCCUCAGGACGUAUGGCAGACUUGGUGAUGAUGAUCCCAUUGUUACAAGUCAGGUAGGUGUAUGUGCAUAGUAAAGUGAUGAUUGUGGAUGACCGUAUCACGUUAAUUGGAUCAUCCAACAUAAAUGACAGGAGUUUGCUUGGGCAUAGGGGUUCUGAGAUUGGGGUUCAUAUUGAAGAUAGAGAAUUUACCGAAUCAACGAUGAAUGGAGAAUCUUGGAGUGCCGGGAAAUUCGCUAAUAGUCUCCGGCUUUCUCUAUGGUCUGAACAUCUUGGUCUUCAUGGUGGAGAUAAGUUGUAUUAGAGACCAUGUGGCUGAAAGCACAUACAAAGAUUUGUGGUUAGCAACUGCAAAGGAAAACUCCCAAAUUUGAUCUUCAAGUGAUAAUGUUAAUGCAAUUGGGGGAUGUUUGGCGAGUAGGCCAACUUGGUCAACCGCGUCAGGCGCGGUCAACGCUGUUCAAAUGGUCUAUUUUAAAUAGUGUCUUGGUAGCUACAAAAUGAAUAAUCAAUCAACAUUGAAGUUGUCAUAUACUCAUAUACGUUACUGAAAGUAGAGAGUUACAUGCUCACUGUGGAUACACACAUAUAUGGUUGAUAUAAGAUGAUUUUAGGGUGAUAUUAUUAUUGUAUUUGUAGGUGGCUUUUGGUCUAUAAAUUAGGAUUCGGGGUGCCCGGUGCGAUGUGUGCGUUGUCGGCGUCGUCUUGGUUUCUUGUGAUCGGAGAAUUUAUUUACAUUUUUUGUGGUUGGUGUCCUUAUUCAUGGAAAGGGUUUACAGUUGCUGCAUUUAAAGAUUUGGUUCAUGUUGUGAAGCUUUCAAUAUCAUCUGGUGUUAUGGUCUGCUUAGAUCUAUGGUACAACGCAGUGCUGGUCUUACUUGCUGGAUACAUGGCGAAUGCAGAAGUUGCCAUUUAUGCCUUUUCCAUAUGCUUGAACAUCAAUGCAUGGGAGUUUAUGAUAAGCCUCGACUUCUUAGGCGAUGCAUGGUAAUAAAAAGACCCGUAAAUGUGGAUAUGUAUGGU
RNA transcript from Helianthus annuus (common sunflower), 1877 nucleotides. It is a transcript of the gene named phospholipase D zeta 2-like, with no coding region annotated. Lineage: Eukaryota; Viridiplantae; Streptophyta; Magnoliopsida; Asterales; Asteraceae. The transcript is spliced from 9 exons. The record is from RefSeq and is a predicted model, not a curated record.